Molecule: non-coding RNA, 45 nt
Filed under: Schistosoma mattheei
Lineage: Eukaryota; Metazoa; Platyhelminthes; Trematoda; Strigeidida; Schistosomatidae
Source: RNAcentral
AUCCGGCUGAUGAGUCCUAAAUAAGAUGAAACGCGUGUCUUGGAU